This is a non-coding RNA of Rhea pennata, 387 nucleotides long. NCBI's taxonomy places the organism in Eukaryota, Metazoa, Chordata, Aves, Rheiformes, Rheidae. The record is from the annotation of a RefSeq genome assembly.
AUGCCGCCAGCCACUUGGCUGCGGGCGGACGUGCAGCUGAUCGAGGCCAGAGGGGGCCUCCAGCCGCCCGGCGGGAGCCUCCGCCUCUCCUGCAAGGGAACCGGGUUCACCUUCAGCAGCUUCGGCAUCAGCUUCUGGAUGCAAUGGGUCCGACAAGUGCCUGGGAAGGGGCUCAUGUUCGUUGAGGGUAUUGGCAAUGAUGGUAGUAGCACAUACUACGCGGAUGCGGUGAAAGGGCGCUUCACCAUCUCCCGGGACAACGCGCAGAGCACGCUCUACCUGCAGAUGAACAGCCUCAAGGCCGAGGACACCGGCACCUACUACUGCGCGAAAGCUGCUGCUAGUGAUAGUAUUUGUGGAGAUGCAGUUGACCCCUGUCAUCGCUAG